Macaca mulatta (Rhesus monkey) is the source of this 1086-nucleotide non-coding RNA. The record is from RefSeq and is a predicted model, not a curated record. Lineage: Eukaryota; Metazoa; Chordata; Mammalia; Primates; Cercopithecidae.
AUAGAUUCUAAUACAUCUCUUCCUUGGAAUACUGAUCAGCAAUAAAAAGGAAUGAACAUAACGACUUUGAUGAAUCUCAAAGGAAUCAUGCUGAGUGAAAAAAGCCAGUAACAAAACACAAACUGUAUGAUUCCAUUUAUGUCACAUUCUGAAAAUGACAACAUUAUAGAGAUGGAAACCAAAUUAGUGAUUGCCUAGGUUCGGGGAUGGUUGGUGAAAGAGAGGUGGAUGUAAUGAACUAGAAAGGGGGACAUGAGGGAAUUGUAUAGUGAUAGAAUCCUUUUGUAUCUUGAUUGUGGUGAUGGUUCCGUAAACACAAGUGUGAUGAAAUAAUGUGACCUACUGAUUUGACUAUUCUGACGCCCAGACUCAUUGAUCAGCUUAGUUGUUUCAAGUUCCUUUCAUACUUAAGAAAAUGCCAUCCCAGACUUUGUUGGCAAUGGCCUGUUGAAAAGACAACCUCCAUACUUUACAUAUAACGUAAAUUACAGAGCAUUUAUUAUGUUUAUAGCGAACACUGAAUAAGAUACAGAUUGCAACUUUCAAGGAAUAACCAAUGUCAGGAAAGAUCUGAUCCUGACUAUUCCUUGGGCAACAAGGGGAGAAGCAGUAACUCUCUUAUAGAAUCAUUAUCUAAGCCACAGAGGGAGUUGGAUGUGGAAACUCUCUCUCUCUUUAAUUAACAAGUAAAAAUUGCAUAUAGAAUUUCCCUGGAUUACAGGCUCCGAAAUGACCUAGACUCAUAUCAGACCAGGCAGGGGCAGCCGAGAUAUGUGACUUCCAGAAACUGCUUUCAGUGAUUAAUGGAAUUGUAACUGUGGAAUGUCUCAGAAACAAGGAAUUUGAAAGCCCCAGGAAAGGCAUCCAUGGUUCCAAUCGAACUCCACAAAGAUAAGUCCGAAGAAAUGCAGAAUACAGCCUGCUUUCCUCAAUGGUUUUUGGCGAUCAGUUCUUCCCUUCUCCAGACUCACCCCGAAUGCAUGUAAUGUAAGCCCAGCCUUCCAUUAACAACCAGCCAUAAAAAUGAAUUGGAAUACAUUGACUGGAGUCGGAUACAAUCUAAAAGUAAAGGAGAUGUUUUUUUCA